UGGGGAAUUUUCCGCAAUGGGGGGAACCCUGACGGAGCAACGCCGCGUGCGGGAGGACGGCCUGUGGGUUGUAAACCGCUUUUCUCUGGGAAGAAGAUCUGACGGUACUUAAGGAAUCAGCAUCGGCUAACUCCGUGCCAGCAGCCGCGGUAAUACGGAGGAUGCAAGCGUUAUCCGGAAUUAUUGGGCGUAAAGCGUCCGCAGGUGGCUCUUCAAGUCUGCUGUCAAAGACAGAAGCUCAACUUCUGGCCGGCGGUGGAAACUGGGGGGCUAGAGUACGGUAGGGGUAGAGGGAAUUUCCAGUGUAGCGGUGAAAUGCGUAGAGAUUGGAAAGAACACCAGUGGCGAAGGCGCUCUACUGGACCGAAACUGACACUCAGGGACGAAAGCUAGGGGAGCGAAAGGGAUUAGAUACCCCCGUAGUCC
RNAcentral lists this ribosomal RNA (426 nucleotides) under uncultured prokaryote. Its description in RNAcentral is "bacterial SSU rRNA". It matches the Rfam family "Bacterial small subunit ribosomal RNA", at positions 355 to 796 of the family's 1533-position model. The record is from RNAcentral.